RNAcentral lists this long non-coding RNA (1205 nucleotides) under Solanum tuberosum (potato). Its description in RNAcentral is "long non-coding RNA (STUB_LNC010326)". Lineage: Eukaryota; Viridiplantae; Streptophyta; Magnoliopsida; Solanales; Solanaceae. The record is from RNAcentral.
UUCCGUGUAAAAAAAAUAAAAUCCUUAUCAUGUGUUAAAUAAUUUAUUUAUUUCUCAAAUAAAGCAUAUGCAUUUUUUCACAUACUUGAAUUAACACUUCAAUAUGAGACAUGAAAAUCAACAUAAAACGGACAUAUGGUUCUAAACCAACAAGCAACUUAACUUAAGUAUCUACGGAUCCAAGUUCAUGCAUUUGGCUAAGGCGACAGAUGACGUAACAUGGACCACCGACUAUCAAGAUAGAUUCAUGACAUAUAGGGGAAAACUAAGGCAAACAGAGCCAUUUGACCAAACAUGAUGCACCUCCGGAGGCCCAGUGAAAGAGAACAAAUACAAAUUUCGAUACAGGAAGUGUACUCUCUUUUUAAAAUAAAAAAAAAUAAAAAAUAAAAAAUAGACUCACAUAGAAAUUACAGAGGAAUUAACUCAAGGUGUGGAGCAACAUAGCCAAACAUGACAAAUUUAUAGUGAGUUACCCAACAUAGCAUUAUUGACUGAGAUGCGAAAGAUACAUAUAACAUUUAGCCAUAUAAGAGACAAAGAUAGAUUCUACGAAAUUAAACUAGCAUGCGAGAACUCGAAACGAUGCAAAGACAACCUAGAACACGAACGAACAGUGAGGGAAAUAAGCUACAAAAUUAGCACACUCCAAGCAUAAACUAGAUGCGCCUCGACUAUUCGGAGAAAAACGAGACAGAGAUUCAAUUAGCCUUAUACAUGCUGCCAAGACAAAAACCCAAACGAUUGAUAACUAAACCCCGGAGAACCAGAAUCAUACAUGAUUCUCAAAGAUCAGCAGAAAACCUCACCCAAAAAUAAAAAAUAAAACACUAGCAACAAAGACAACAACAAGAAUGAACACAUGAAAUGCCAUAUAGGAAAGUGAGUAUAAAAGGGAAUGAAGUUACCGUUCUUGGAGCAGCGAACUCUGGACAGCUACGAGCCUGAACGACGACCUUCACCAGGAAACCCGAACACUAGCAAUGACCAGGAAAUCUGGACAGAAAUUUGAACUCAAACACCGAAACUAUUCCCCCUUUUCUUGCGAAAUGUAUUUAGUGUAUUUUAAGUACUCCAGCUCUUCUCUGUAUUGUAUAGGUAUUUUAUAGCUAUUUCUUACUAUGGUUGCUCUCUGUAUCUCUGUUAGGGAAAGAAAAUGUCAACUAAAGAUCUCCAAAUUUCACCACUCUAUCUCUCCAAUCCUC